RNAcentral lists this ribosomal RNA (254 nucleotides) under uncultured bacterium. RNAcentral describes it as "partial 16S ribosomal RNA". It matches the Rfam family "Bacterial small subunit ribosomal RNA", at positions 524 to 776 of the family's 1533-position model. The record is from RNAcentral.
CACGUAGGGGGCGAGCGUUGUCCGGAUUUAUUGGGCGUAAAGAGCUCGUAGGCGGUUUCGUAAGUCGGAUGUGAAAACUCCAGGCUCAACUUGGAGACGCCAUUCGAUACUGCGAUGACUUGAGUCCGGUAGGGGAGUGUGGAAUUCCUGGUGUAGCGGUGAAAUGCGCAGAUAUCAGGAGGAACACCGGCGGCGAAGGCGGCACUCUGGGCCGGUACUGACGCUGAGGCGCGAAGGCGUGGGGAGCGAACGGG